GUAGGGAAUAUUGGACAAUGGGCGAAAGCCUGAUCCAGCCAUGCCGCGUGUGUGAAGAAGGUCUUCGGAUUGUAAAGCACUUUAAGUUGGGAGGAAGGGCAGUAAGUUAAUACCUUGCUGUUUUGACGUUACCAACAGAAUAAGCACCGGCUAACUUCGUGCCAGCAGCCGCGGUAAUACGAAGGGUGCAAGCGUUAAUCGGAAUUACUGGGCGUAAAGCGCGCGUAGGUGGUUCAGCAAGUUGAAGGUGAAAUCCCCGGGCUCAACCUGGGAACUACUUGCAAAACUGCAUGACUAGAGUACGGUAGAGGGUAGUGGAAUUUCCUGUGUAGCGGUGAAAUGCGUAGAUAUAGGAAGGAACACCAGUGGCGAAGGCGACUACCUGGACUGAUACUGACACUGAGGUGCGAAAGCGUGGGGAGCAAACAGGAUUAGAAACCCUUGUAGUCC
Molecule: ribosomal RNA, 450 nt
Filed under: uncultured bacterium
Lineage: Bacteria
Description: partial 16S ribosomal RNA
Rfam family: Bacterial small subunit ribosomal RNA
Source: RNAcentral